GCACGUUCCCGAGGCACAGGGAGCCGCACGUUCCCGGGGAAGGUGCCAGAGGCCAGCUGGACGGCCCCGGCGCACUCCCGCCCCGGCGCACUCCCGCCCCGGCGCACUCCGACCCCGGCGCACUCCCGCCCCGGCGCACCCUGCUCCCCGGCGCGUACCCAGGGGCCACGAUUUUGGCUGGGCGAAAGCGGCCCGCUCCCGCCUCUCCUUGAGUGCGCUGAUUACAUCUACCGGAGACACCUUCCCUUCCCUUGGGGAUCCCAACUCUCAGCUCUUCAGAAAGCAAUGACAAGGCAUCUGACUCAUCCUCCUGCACCUCUUUUCAAUUACUGACUUAAACCAGGUAAGCCUGACCACAAAAGAGAAACUUGUCUGCUCCCUUUUAUUUGGUUUAAGUUUCCUCAGGGAUGUCCUGAGAAUCCUAUGUGAAAAGCCAACCCUGACACUCACACCAUUUCGAUUCUUGAAAAUGUUCACCAUCUUAACACCAUUGUAUGCCGAGCCAGAAUUACUGCAAUACUGAGUGUAUAUUUAAAUUAAAAAUUAAUGUCAAACAGCGCAUGCCUUACAUUCUCUGUGUCUGUGCUAUGCUCAUGCCCUAUUUUAUUAACGAAUGCCACUAAUGAGCUGUUCUGUCUCCAUAUCCAUAAAAUUAUCAUUGACCCUUUGCUAGUAAAAUAAGCCUGAGUCAUCAGCAUGAGACUAUAAUUGACAUCCUUCCGUUUCCAUAUUUUUUAACACUCAUAGUUUUCCAUCAAUGAUACCAUAAGCACACCUCAUCCUAUUAAAGAUGACAUCAUGGUCUCUAGCAUGAAGCUUUUCAGA
This 825-nucleotide long non-coding RNA is filed under the name Homo sapiens (human). RNAcentral's name for it is "HSALNT0249565". Lineage: Eukaryota; Metazoa; Chordata; Mammalia; Primates; Hominidae. The record is from RNAcentral.